AUAUUGUCACAAUGAAAGGUAUCGAGACUUCUGUACAGGAGAUAAUAUAUUAUAACACAAACAUAAAAUAAAUCAAGCGUGACAUUAUGAAAACCGGAUAACGUCAUGACACUAACAGUCAAGAUGGUUUCCACGAGGACGUGUUGUUUUGUAGGAUUAAUAUUCGUAAUAACUUUAAUACAGUUUUCACAAGCCUUUCAAUGUUAUUCCUGUACCUAUAUAUUCGCUGGUAAUGAUGGAACUUAUGAUUACGGCUGUGUAAAUGAUACACAAAAUUUUACCGUGAACAUGCAAAAGUUUGAAUGUGAAUUACCGAAACAGUGUGUUAUUCAUGCUGUCUUCGCAGAAAGUUUUGGCACAAUGCAGUCGAUGGAUCGGGGAUGUAGAGAACCCGCAGCUCCUGACGGUUGUGUUGAUGUCUCAACCAGACCUGCUUGCGACUUCAGUUGUUCCAGUGAAUUAUGUAAUGAUAUCAAUGGUGAUUUAAGGAAAGUUAUCUAAAUAAGAAGACAACCAUGGAAAUACGACCAGGCAGCAGCUAUGUCUCGACAACAGGUUAUCUGAACAAAAAAGAACUUGGAUGUUGACCAAAUUUGAUAUGGAUCCUAUAUGCCUUGAUGAAUCUGAACCCGAACUCCGAAAUGAAAGGUUUUAGUUCGAGGUACACCAGCUGCUACUGAGACAUUAGCCGAGUUUUGUACAAGUUCUUCCCUCAUUCAGGGAAAAAUAUUUCAACCUAAAGUUGGUGAUAGUAUUGAUGCAACAACAGAAAGUCGAAUAUUCCAGGCCAAAUUACGAGAUCAUCUAGUGACAUCAUUAAAUUUUUCUACAGCCCGUGAUGUAGAAUUAGCAUGGAUUGAUGCCCAGUUGAAUUAUAUAGAAAAUGACGAACCAGUCGAUUCAAAUACUUUAUCGGAGGAGAGGAAUAAAAAAGAAAAAGAUUCGGAAAUAAUACCAACAUUAGAUUGUCUUCCAUCUAAUAAGGUACCAACACAUACAUCCGUAUUUAUUAAUGAACCAAAAUUAUCUGACUUUAAACUGGUCUUAUUACAAGAGAAAAUACCAUGUGUGUUCGUUGCUGGUGUUUUAAUAUGUGAUAACAAGGUGGCAGUCGGAAGGAAUAAAGCUGGAAAAAUUCAGUUAGAGGGGACAUUAUGUAAUGAAUAUUAUCGUGUCAGAGAAUUACUAUAUCAGCAAUAUGCUAUUGUUUAAAUCUGUAUAUAAAUCAUUGUUAAUAAAACUCAUUUGUCAUAUCAUUAUAAUGUAUACCGGUAGUUGAUUUAUAUAAUUAAAGAGGCGUUAUUCAAGAGCUAAUUAGACAUUUAUUAACAUGACAAGACCAUAAUCAACUCUUGAUGCCAUCAGAUGGCUCUGAUUUUAAGUAGAUUAGAACAGUUUGGUCAUUUAAUGAUUUAAUUUAAACAUGGAGAAGAGAGGCUAAGACUCAAAUAAACAGCACCGUGGUUACAAUAAUAAACAAUCAAUGCAGACAUCUUGUCAAAACUACAAACAGUCAUUAUUUUGCUCAGAAUAAAGUAAUUUGAAUGAAAUUUUCAAUGUAUUCAUUUUGCAUUAUCUAUUUUUGAACUAUUAUACAUGUAGCAAGAACGGCCAGAUCUUUAAAUCUUACAUUAUGUAUCUUUUAAGAUGAUUUAGUAUUCAUAUUAUGCUGCUGAUUAUUGGCUUGGCAUGGAUAAUCCACUAGUCAUUCGGAUGGUGAAAAAAAUGAGGUCCUGUGAAUAUCAUUGACAGUACAUUAAAGAUCCACUGACAGUUGGAAAUCUGGGUAAAACUUGUAUACAGGCCAGACAAAUUAGUAGUUGGACUGACCAUAAAUUGCAAAAGAAAUUUACAUCUGAAUUCAUUCAGAUCGGAUGUGACGGAAAACUGAGGUCCUGUGUAUACAUUGGUGUACACGUAAAAGAACCCUUGACAGAUGGAAUUCGAUAUAAGAGUAAGCCGUAGCGCCGCUGCCCGGGCAAAAUUUCCCUCAUAGCACACUGUAUGCCAUAUGCCCAUCAUCAUUAGCUCAGUCAGUGCAGAAAGUAAACUCUGGGCUUUAGCCCCAUGUAAUUAAAAAAAAAUCAUUCUACUAAGAAAAUACAGGGUCCACGAAACCAAAUUAUGGUAUUCUAAUGACAUUAUAAAGAUUGCAUAAUGGAAAA
Patella vulgata (common limpet) is the source of this 2165-nucleotide long non-coding RNA. RefSeq lists it as uncharacterized. Lineage: Eukaryota; Metazoa; Mollusca; Gastropoda; Patellidae. The record is from RefSeq and is a predicted model, not a curated record. The transcript is spliced from 9 exons.